GACGAACGCUGGCGGCGUGCCUAAUACAUGCAAGUCGAACGAGAAAUUCUUACACCGGAUGCUUGCAUCCACCGUAAGAUUUCGAGUGGCGGACGGGUGAGUAACACGUGGGUAACCUGCCCAAAAGAAGGGGAUAACAUUUGGAAACAAGUGCUAAUACCGUAUAACCAUGAUGACCGCAUGGUCAUGAUGUAAAAGGUGGUUUUGCUAUCGCUUUUGGAUGGACCCGCGGCGUAUUAACUAGUUGGUAAGGUAACGGCUUACCAAGGUGAUGAUACGUAGCCGAACUGAGAGGUUGAUCGGCCACAAUGGGACUGAGACACGGCCCAUACUCCUACGGGAGGCAGCAGUAGGGAAUCUUCCACAAUGGGCGCAAGCCUGAUGGAGCAACGCCGCGUGAAUGAAGGCCUUAGGGUUGUAAAGCUCUUUCAGCUGGGAAGAUAAUGACGGUACCAGCAGAAGAAGCCCCGGCUAACUCCGUGCCAGCCGCCGCGGUAAUAC
RNAcentral lists this ribosomal RNA (501 nucleotides) under uncultured bacterium. RNAcentral describes it as "bacterial SSU rRNA". It matches the Rfam family "Bacterial small subunit ribosomal RNA", at positions 28 to 526 of the family's 1533-position model. The record is from RNAcentral.